UACGUAUGUCACAAGCGUUAUCCGGAUUUAUUGGGCGUAAAGCGCGUCUAGGUGGUUAUAUAAGUCUGAUGUGAAAAUGCAGGGCUCAACUCUGUAUUGCGUUGGAAACUGUGUAACUAGAGUACUGGAGAGGUAAGCGGAACUACAAGUGUAGAGGUGAAAUUCGUAGAUAUUUGUAGGAAUGCCGAUGGGGAAGCCAGCUUACUGGACAGAUACUGACGCUGAAGCGCGAAAGCGUGGGUAGCAAACAGG
This 252-nucleotide ribosomal RNA is filed under the name uncultured bacterium. Its description in RNAcentral is "partial 16S ribosomal RNA". It matches the Rfam family "Bacterial small subunit ribosomal RNA", at positions 524 to 776 of the family's 1533-position model. The record is from RNAcentral. RNAcentral also lists the same sequence under 1 other name.